GGGGCCCAGCAGUACCUGGUGCACAUUCAAAAGUACUUUCAACAGGAGCAAAGCCGAGCCUCCCGUGGUGUGCUGGGCUCUGUGCCACCCGGAGGGUGGAAGUGAGGAACGCUGAGUGGGACCACGCUCUUCAGUACCCCACCCGCACUUCCCAUGAAGGAGACAGGAAUGUUGUCCCCAGUGCUGGUCGGUCAGGCAUUCAGUCGACAAACACCCACCCAGCAGAUGGCCUUGGGCUCAGCAGAUGCACAGAACCGGUAAGCACAGCCGAGGAGAACAGCGAGAACGGAGCUGGCCCAAGGGAGAGCCUACCUGGAAAGAGGGGUUGAAGACCAGGCAUCAUUUCCGCCAUCUCCAUCAUCAUCACUGCUAUGAUCCCCAUCACCGUCAUCGUCACCACCAUCACCCCCUUGAACCCGGCUCCAAGAACUUCCUGCCCCCCCCACCUCUGUAUGUCACUCCUCAGGAAAGGCAGUCCAUUUUGUUUAAACAUGUCCUUGGAGCAGGCCACUGUCCCCAACAUUUCUCACGCCAGUAGACCGGCAUUUUGCCCUGGUUCUAGAAAAGACCACAUCACGGUAUGACUUUGGGUAGGAGAAGAAUGGGAUUGUAUGUCCUUCUUCCCACAAAGCCCAAAGGGUAAUUGGCUUCUACCACCAAGAGGCCCCAGAUAGUCCCAGGCAGUGGUGCUACUGGCUGCCACUCAAGGGUGGGGAGGGGGGGGUCCUGGGUCCAGGCAGGGAUGGGUGAGAAUGAGUGGCACUUGUCUCCAGCCCUGUCCACAGGACUCUGGCCCUAGCCCUGGGCAGGGAGGGGUUCCCACAGAGGAAAGGACGGGCGCUGUGACCUCACCCCUCCCUUGACUUUGUACAAGUCUCCACUGUGGAGACUGGGUUUGGAUUCAUCACUAAAUGGGGC
This 918-nucleotide long non-coding RNA is filed under the name Vulpes vulpes (red fox). Its description in RNAcentral is "lncRNA (ENSVVUG00000025538.1)". Lineage: Eukaryota; Metazoa; Chordata; Mammalia; Carnivora; Canidae. The record is from RNAcentral.